This 2160-nucleotide long non-coding RNA is filed under the name Mus caroli (Ryukyu mouse). RNAcentral describes it as "predicted gene 28447 (MGP_CAROLIEiJ_G0013275.1)". The record is from RNAcentral. Lineage: Eukaryota; Metazoa; Chordata; Mammalia; Rodentia; Muridae.
UGUCCACAUGUUUCUCAUUAGCAGCAGGCUGAGUGUGUGUUUCCCUAGUCCUCUUUCGGCGGGAGCAGUCCAGUGUCCAAUCAUAACUCUUCUGGGAAGUCAUUAGCUGUGUCCAGGAGCUAGAGAUGGAGCUCAGCUGAUAGGAAGCUUGACUUAACAUCCACAAAGCCACAGGCUCCAACCCCAGCACCAUGCAAGCCAAGGGCUAGGGUACACCCAUACCCCUAGAACUCCAGAGUCAGAAGGAUGAGAGGUUUAAGGUCAUUCUUGGUGACAUACUAAGUUUGAGGCCAACCUGAACUACAUGAGACCUUUCCACCAAGCCCAACCAGGUCAUCGAGAUGUCUCAGCAGACCCUUACUGGUGUUGAAGGUCUGUGCUGGCUUGGCAUGUGUAGGUUGAAAGUGUGCUCUGAGACACCCAGCAGAGGUGGGUUUUUGGGUAUCCCUGGCUGCCCUGGACUUUGCACUGCAGACCACACUGGCCUCUGACACCACCCAGGGGCAUAACUCCUGAUCUCAAAGUUUUCUGAGUGGAAGAUGUCAGCUACAGCAACCCGCUCUGUGAACUGUGAGGUGAGACAGGCCCUCAGAGCUCGCCCUGGAAGGACCCCUAUCCAAUGUGGUCCCCAUUGACAGGAAAUAGGGUGCACAGGAGCCUCUGCUUGUAGGAAUCUGGCUUUGCUCGGGUGGCAUACCAUGGGCUCCAGCUGGGUCUGUCAAGGUCACCUCCGCCACAUCACAGGGCCUCAUCAGCCAACCUCAGAAGCCUGGCGCAGGUGUUCAUAGAUUGAUCAGCUUUUUGUUCUUUGAGACAUGGUUCUGACGCUGUAGCCCAGGUUGGCAUCCACAUCACAACAAUUUCCUUUUGCCUCCCAGGUGUGCAGUUCACAGCCUUGCAGGCUUCUGAAUUAUGAAGAAAGGUUCCCUAUGGGCUUCCAGAUGUCCUGUGGAUAGAUGUCCUGCAGCUCUUUGUAGCAACAAGAGGCUAUGUUCUUGUCUCGACACUGAGGGCUUUUGUUCAUGAUGGUGGGCAGAUUGGAGGCAAUUUCAGGACAUGGCAGGUGUGUAACACUGAUGUGCCCACCUGUGUUGGGGAAAUUGCUCUCCUGAUUAGCUGGGGAAGCAAAGGCUCAGAGAGGCCUUUUCCCAGGAUCAGGCCAUCUGAAGAAAGCCAUUGGUCACUUCUAUGCAAGUGGGCCUCUUGUGAGGCCCAGGCUCACACCAAAGACCCUGGACUGGCCGAAGCAGAAGAGCCUGUCCUAAAGGCCUGGUUCCAACGCUUCCCGGUCAUGUGCUCACCGCUUCAUCCCUGUCUGCUGGUAGAGGGAUGCCACUGUAGCAAACAAGGGCAUACAGGUCCCUUGGGGGCGGGGUUAGAGAGAGGGCUCAGUGGUUAAGAACAUUGGUGGUUCUUGAAGAGGACCACAGUGUAGUUCCAAGUACCCGCCUGAUGGAUCCCAACCAUCUGUAACUCCAGUUUCAGGGGCUCAGGGGCUCUCUUCUGACUUCCUCAGGUACCAGGCACAUACAUGAUGGGAUGCAUAUACAUGCAUGCAUACAUACAUGCAUAUAUACAUACAUACAUACAUACAUACGUGCAUACACAGUGUACAUAUGUACAUACACACAUACAAAUAUAUAUACAUACAUAACAUGCAUACAUACAUACAUAUAUACAUACAUAAAUACAUACAUAUGUGCAAGCAAAACAUUUUUUAAAAAAANNNNNNNNNNNNNNNNNNNNNNNNNNNNNNNNNNNNNNNNNNNNNNNNNNNNNNNNNNNNNNNNNNNNNNNNNNNNCGGAUGGUUGUGAGCCACCGUGUGGUUGCUGGGAUUUGAACUCAGGACUUUAGGAAGAACAGUCAGUGCUCUUACCCGCUGAGCCAUCUCGCCAGCCCAGCAAAACACUCUUAAAGUAAAAUUUAAAAAUCUAAAACAGGUCCCUUCCUGGGACAACUAGAUGUUGAGAAUUCAUGAGCACUAGUGCCCUGUGUUUCCUUCCUUCCUUCCUUUCCUUUUUUUUUUCUUUUUUUGAGACAUAGUUUCUUUUUAUAGCUCUUGCUGACCUGGACCUCUCUUUGCAGACCAAGCUGGUCUUGAACUCAGAGACUCACCUAUCUCUGCCUCUUGAAUGCUGGGAUUAAACAUGUGUGCCACC